UGCAGAGUCAGGAGUGCUUGGAGAAGGUUGCCAAGACGGUCUCCUUCCUCGCGCAGCCUGAAGGCUCAUUCCUGCUGUUGCUCACAGUUCAAAAGGACCACGCGCUGGAGCUCCUAAACGCGCGCCCCUUCUACUUCGUUUAUUUAUGUGGCGUGAAGACAUAAAGCAAACCUUUGGAGCCAUAGUUGUCUUUUUUGUCAUCUAAAAUAAUAAUGGUAACAUAUUAAUACAAACAAAAUAAUAUUCCAGCUCAAAAAAUUGUAUGUGAAUAAUGAAUCGAUGCUAUGGAACUAUAUUUGUUAUGGAGCUAUGUAUGUAUGGAUGCUAUGGAACUAUAUGUAUA
Long non-coding RNA from Hordeum vulgare subsp. vulgare (domesticated barley), 343 nucleotides. RefSeq lists it as uncharacterized. The transcript has 2 exons. The record is from RefSeq and is a predicted model, not a curated record. NCBI's taxonomy places the organism in Eukaryota, Viridiplantae, Streptophyta, Magnoliopsida, Poales, Poaceae.